RNAcentral lists this transfer RNA (94 nucleotides) under Trichoglossum hirsutum. It matches the Rfam family "tRNA". From Rfam's summary of the family: Transfer RNA (tRNA) molecules are approximately 80 nucleotides in length. Lineage: Eukaryota; Fungi; Ascomycota; Geoglossomycetes; Geoglossales; Geoglossaceae. The record is from Rfam by way of RNAcentral.
GCGUUUGUGGGUUAGUGGUAAACUACGGCUUUGCCAGUAUUUCGCUAGAAAUCCCGAAGUAGCCGUGCCCCGGGUUCGAUUCCCGGCAGACGCA